UGUGUGUUAGUGGAAGCGUCUGGAAAGGCGCGCGAUACAGGGUGACAGCCCCGUACACAAAAAUGCACAUGCUGUGAGCUCGAUGAGUAGGGCGGGACACGUGGUAUCCUGUCUGAAUAUGGGGGGACCAUCCUCCAAGGCUAAAUACUCCUGACUGACCGAUAGUGAACCAGUACCGUGAGGGAAAGGCGAAAAGAACCCCGGCGAGGGGAGUGAAAAAGAACCUGAAACCGUGUACGUACAAGCAGUGGGAGCACGCUUCGGCGUGUGACUGCGUACCUUUUGUAUAAUGGGUCAGCGACUUAUAUUCUGUAGCAAGGUUAACCGAAUAGGGGAGCCGAAGGGAAACCGAGUCUUAACUGGGCGUUAAGUUGCAGGGUAUAGACCCGAAACCCGGUGAUCUAGCCAUGGGCAGGUUGAAGGUUGGGUAACACUAACUGGAGGACCGAACCGACUAAUGUUGAAAAAUUAGCGGAUGACUUGUGGCUGGGGGUGAAAGGCCAAUCAAACCGGGAGAUAGCUGGUUCUCCCCGAAAGCUAUUUAGGUAGCGCCUCGUGAAUUCAUCUCCGGGGGUAGAGCACUGUUUCGGCAAGGGGGUCAUCCCGACUUACCAACCCGAUGCAAACUGCGAAUACCGGAGAAUGUUAUCACGGGAGACACACGGCGGGUGCUAACGUCCGUCGUGAAGAGGGAAACAACCCAGACCGCCAGCUAAGGUCCCAAAGUCAUGGUUAAGUGGGAAACGAUGUGGGAAGGCCCAGACAGCCAGGAUGUUGGCUUAGAAGCAGCCAUCAUUUAAAGAAAGCGUAAUAGCUCACUGGUCGAGUCGGCCUGCGCGGAAGAUGUAACGGGGCUAAA
This 859-nucleotide ribosomal RNA is filed under the name Escherichia coli. Its description in RNAcentral is "partial 23S ribosomal RNA". It matches the Rfam family "Bacterial large subunit ribosomal RNA", at positions 323 to 1185 of the family's 2925-position model. The record is from RNAcentral. Lineage: Bacteria; Pseudomonadati; Pseudomonadota; Gammaproteobacteria; Enterobacterales; Enterobacteriaceae.